Molecule: non-coding RNA, 80 nt
Filed under: human gut metagenome
Description: Cyclic di-GMP-I riboswitch
Rfam family: c-di-GMP-I riboswitch aptamer
About the family: GEMM was predicted in a large-scale screen for bacterial structured RNA regulatory elements. Genes associated with GEMM are involved in a diverse array of functions, including chemotaxis regulation, signal transduction, secretion and chitin.
Source: RNAcentral
ACCUAGGUAAACUUAUAGAAAUAUAGGGGCACAAAGCUAGAAGUCUAAGGUGUUAUUAAAUACUAUGAUAGUUCAGUUGC